RNAcentral lists this ribosomal RNA (375 nucleotides) under uncultured eukaryote. RNAcentral's name for it is "SSU rRNA". It matches the Rfam family "Eukaryotic small subunit ribosomal RNA", at positions 587 to 972 of the family's 1831-position model. The record is from RNAcentral.
AGCUCCAAUAGCGUAUAUUAAAGUUGUUGCAGUUAAAAAGCUCGUAGUUGGAUUUCUGGCGUUCGCGGUCGGUCCGCCUUCGGGUGUGCACUGCAUUGCGGUCGCCAUCUUCUAUGCGAGUGCGUGUGGCAUUAGGUUGUCGGGCGCAUUAGCAUGGUCGUUUACUGUGAAAAAUUAGAGUGUUUAAAGCAGGCUCUGCUUGAAUACAUUAGCAUGGAAUAAUAAGAUAAGACUAAGGUCUUACUUGUUGGUUCAGAGAUCUUAGUAAUGAUUAAUAGGGAUAGUUGGGGGUAUUCGUAUUCAAUUGUCAGAGGUGAAAUUCUUGGAUUUAUGGAAGACGAACUUCUGCGAAAGCAUUUACCAAGGAUGUUUUCA